AGAGUUUGAUCCUGGCUCAGGACGAACGCUGGCGGCGUGCCUAAUACAUGCAAGUCGAGCGGAUGAGCAAUGAACUUUCGGGUUCGUUGCAAGUUAGCGGCGGACGGGUGAGUAACACGUAGGCAACCUACCUGCAAGACGGGGAUAACUUACGGAAACGUGAGCUAAUACCGGAUAGGCAAGUUCCUCGCAUGAGGGAG
Molecule: ribosomal RNA, 200 nt
Filed under: uncultured bacterium
Lineage: Bacteria
Description: partial 16S ribosomal RNA
Rfam family: Bacterial small subunit ribosomal RNA
Source: RNAcentral